CAGAAUGUAGCUUAUAUAAAGUUGAUUAUUUACACUAAUUAGAAAUCUUCGGUUCAUUUUGA
This 62-nucleotide transfer RNA is filed under the name Antialcidas floripennae. Its description in RNAcentral is "tRNA-Val". The record is from RNAcentral. Lineage: Eukaryota; Metazoa; Arthropoda; Insecta; Hemiptera; Membracidae.